This 403-nucleotide ribosomal RNA is filed under the name uncultured bacterium. RNAcentral describes it as "partial 16S ribosomal RNA". It matches the Rfam family "Bacterial small subunit ribosomal RNA", at positions 28 to 526 of the family's 1533-position model. The record is from RNAcentral.
GACGAACGCUGGCGGCGUGCCUAAUACAUGCAAGUCGAACGCAGUGGGGACGGGUGCGUAACACGUGGGUAACCUCCCAUCAGAGGGGAUAACACUUGGAAACAGGUGCUAAACCGAUACUGAUGGAUGGACCCGCGGUGCAUUAGCUAGUGGGUGAGGUAACGGCUCACCAAGGCCACGAUGCAUCGCCGAACUGAGAGGGUGAUCGGCAAAACUGUGACUGAGACACGGCCCAGACUCCUACGGGAGGCAGCAGUAGGGAAUCUGCGGCAAUGGUCGAAAGCGUGAACGAGCAACGCCGCGUGAGUGAAGAAGGUUUUCGGAUCGGAAAACUCUGUUGUUAGAGAAGCGGUAUCUAACCAGAAAGCCACUGCGAACUACGUGCCAGCCGCCGCGGUAAUAC